UCCCUACGGGACGCAGCAGUGGGGAAUAUUGCACAAUGGGGGAAACCCUGAUGCAGCAACGCCGCGUGAAGGAAGACGGUUUUCGGAUUGUAAACUUCUGUUCUUAGUGAAGAAAAAUGACGGUAGCUAAGGAGCAAGCCACGGCUAACUACGUGCCAGCAGCCGCGGUAAUACGUAGGUGGCAAGCGUUGUCCGGAUUUACUGGGUGUAAAGGGCGUGCAGCCGGGCCGACAAGUCAGAUGUGAAAUCCGCGGGCUUAACCCGCGAACUGCAUUUGAAACUAUUGGUCUUGAGUACCGGCGAGG
Molecule: ribosomal RNA, 305 nt
Filed under: uncultured bacterium
Lineage: Bacteria
Description: bacterial SSU rRNA
Rfam family: Bacterial small subunit ribosomal RNA
Source: RNAcentral